This 487-nucleotide ribosomal RNA is filed under the name uncultured bacterium. RNAcentral describes it as "bacterial SSU rRNA". It matches the Rfam family "Bacterial small subunit ribosomal RNA", at positions 28 to 507 of the family's 1533-position model. The record is from RNAcentral.
GAUGAACGCUAGCGGCAGGCCUAACACAUGCAAGUCGAGGGGUAACAUAGAAAAGCUUGCUUUUCUGAUGACGACCGGCGCACGGGUGCGUAACGCGUAUACAACCUACCUUUUAGCGGGGAAUAGCCCAAGGAAACUUGGAUUAAUGCCCCAUAGUAUAUAGACUUCUCCUGAAGUUUAUAUUAAACAUUUAUGGCUAUUAGAUGGGUAUGCGUCCUAUUAGUUAGUUGGUAAGGUAACGGCUUACCAAGGCAGCGAUAGGUAGGGGUCCUGAGAGGGAGAUCCCCACACUGGUACUGAGACACGGACCAGACUCCUACGGGAGGCAGCAGUGAGGAAUAUUGGACAAUGGGCGAGAGCCUGAUCCAGCCAUGCCGCGUGCAGGAAGACUGCCCUAUGGGUUGUAAACUGCUUUUACAGAGGAAGAACCACCCCCACGUGUGGGGGUUUGACGGUACUCUGCGAAUAAGGAUCGGCUAACUCCGUG